Molecule: ribosomal RNA, 174 nt
Filed under: uncultured bacterium
Lineage: Bacteria
Description: partial 16S ribosomal RNA
Rfam family: Bacterial small subunit ribosomal RNA
Source: RNAcentral
UGUUGAUGCAUAUUUUCAUGACCAAAGGCUUCGGCCGGUAAAGGAUGGGGAUGCGUCUGAUUAGCUUGCCGGCGGGGUAACGGCCCACCGGGGCGACGAUCAGUAGGGGUUCUGAGAGGAAGGUCCCCCACAUUGGAACUGAGACACGGUCCAAACUCCUACGGAAGGCAGCAG